This 498-nucleotide ribosomal RNA is filed under the name uncultured bacterium. Its description in RNAcentral is "partial 16S ribosomal RNA". It matches the Rfam family "Bacterial small subunit ribosomal RNA", at positions 30 to 523 of the family's 1533-position model. The record is from RNAcentral.
AUUGAACGCUGGCGGAAUGCUUUACACAUGCAAGUCGAACGGCAGCACGGGGCAACCUGGUGGCGAGUGGCGAACGGGUGAGUAAUACAUCGGAACGUGCCCAGUCGUGGGGGAUAACGUAGCGAAAGUUACGCUAAUACCGCAUACGAUCUAAGGAUGAAAGCGGGGGAUCGCAAGACCUCGCGCGAUUGGAGCGGCCGAUGUCAGAUUAGGUAGUUGGUGGGGUAAAGGCCCACCAAGCCGACGAUCUGUAGCUGGUCUGAGAGGACGACCAGCCACACUGGGACUGAGACACGGCCCAGACUCCUACGGGAGGCAGCAGUGGGGAAUUUUGGACAACGGGCGCAAGCCUGAUCCAGCCAUGCCGCGUGCAGGAUGAAGGCCUUCGGGUUGUAAACUGCUUUUGUACAGAACGAAAAGGUUUGGGCUAAUAAGCUGAGCUCAUGACGGUACCGUAAGAAUAAGCACCGGCUAACUACGUGCCAGCCGCCGCAGUAA